AUAUGCAAGAGCAACAUUAAUUUAUAAUAUAUUAUUAUUUUGAAAAUCUUAUGUUGCAAUGAUAAUCAUUUUUUCUAAAUGAUUUAUUGAUACAUGUAUAAACUUAUGCUUGAUUUGGAUAAGAUAGUAUAAUGUUUACUUAUUAAGCUGGUGUAACUCAUAUCUUUUUCUUUUUUUUUUCUGUCCAGAUAAAUAAGAUUAGGAAGCAAGGAUGAUCUAGACUGGAGGGUCUACAUCGG
Molecule: long non-coding RNA, 239 nt
Filed under: Elaeis guineensis (African oil palm)
Lineage: Eukaryota; Viridiplantae; Streptophyta; Magnoliopsida; Arecales; Arecaceae
Description: long non-coding RNA (EGUI_LNC004180)
Source: RNAcentral